AGAGUUUGAUCAUGGCUCAGAACGAACGCUGGCGGCAGGCUUAACACAUGCAAGUCGAGCGCCUCGCAAGAGGAGCGGCAGACGGGUGAGUAACACGUGGGAACGUGCCCAAAGGUACGGAACAACUCCGGGAAACUGGAGCUAAUACCGUAUGUGCCCGAGAGGGGAAAGAUUUAUCGCCUUUGGAUCGGCCCGCGUCUGAUUAGCUAGUUGGUAGGGUAAUGGCCUACCAAGGCGACGAUCAGUAGCUGGUCUGAGAGGAUGACCAGCCACACUGGGACUGAGACACGGCCCAGACUCCUACGGGAGGCAGCAGUGGGGAAUAUUGGACAAUGGGCGCAAGCCUGAUCCAGCCAUGCCGCGUGAGUGAUGAAGGCCUUAGGGUUGUAAAGCUCUUUCGCCAGGGACGAUAAUGACGGUACCUGGAUAAGAAGCCCCGGCUAACUUCGUGCCAGCAGCCGCGGUAAUACGAAGGGGGCUAGCGUUGUUCGGAAUUACUGGGCGUAAAGCGUAUGUAGGCGGAUCUUUAAGUCAGGGGUGAAAUCCCGAGGCUCAACCUCGGAACUGCCUUUGAUACUGGGGAUCUUGAGUCCGGGAGAGGUGAGUGGAACUGCGAGUGUAGAGGUGAAAUUCGUAGAUAUUCGCAAGAACACCAGUGGCGAAGGCGGCUCACUGGCCCGGUACUGACGCUGAAAUACGAAAGCGUGGGGAGCAAACAGGAUUAGAUACCCCCGUAGUCC
RNAcentral lists this ribosomal RNA (740 nucleotides) under uncultured bacterium. RNAcentral's name for it is "bacterial SSU rRNA". It matches the Rfam family "Bacterial small subunit ribosomal RNA", at positions 8 to 796 of the family's 1533-position model. The record is from RNAcentral.